GGGGUUGUUGGGGAAAUUUGAAAAAGAAUUGUGAAAAGAAAAAGAAAAAGAGCAUUGAGCUAAGUGUUGAAUGAAAUUGAAAAAGAAAAGAAAAGAAAAGAGAAGAAGAAAAAGAAGGAAAAGCUCAAUGAAUGAAAUGUUGGGAGUAAGAUGAGAAUGGUUUCUCAAAUAUAAAGGAGAAAGAGAGAUUAUGGUUAAUGUGAA
RNAcentral lists this long non-coding RNA (204 nucleotides) under Vigna radiata. Its description in RNAcentral is "long non-coding RNA (VRAD_LNC018170)". The record is from RNAcentral. Lineage: Eukaryota; Viridiplantae; Streptophyta; Magnoliopsida; Fabales; Fabaceae.